CCUACGGGAGGCAGCAGUAGGGAAUAUUGGUCAAUGGGUGCGAGCCUGAACCAGCCAUGCCGCGUGCAGGAAGACGGCCUUCUGGGUUGUAAACUGCUUUUGCCAGGGGAUAAAAAGCUCAUGCGUGAGCAAUUGAAGGUACCUGGUGAAUAAGCACCGGCUAACUACGUGCCAGCAGCCGCGGUAAU
RNAcentral lists this ribosomal RNA (188 nucleotides) under uncultured Flexibacteraceae bacterium. RNAcentral describes it as "partial 16S ribosomal RNA". It matches the Rfam family "Bacterial small subunit ribosomal RNA", at positions 338 to 524 of the family's 1533-position model. The record is from RNAcentral. Lineage: Bacteria; Pseudomonadati; Bacteroidota; Cytophagia; Cytophagales; Cytophagaceae.